This 397-nucleotide unclassified non-coding RNA is filed under the name Hevea brasiliensis (rubber tree). Lineage: Eukaryota; Viridiplantae; Streptophyta; Magnoliopsida; Malpighiales; Euphorbiaceae. The record is from RNAcentral.
GACUCGCAUGCAAUUGCCAUCAGUAAACCUCACUCAAAACCCAAAAUUUUACUGCACGAAAAAAUAAUGGAAAAUCUAGCCAAAAAUUGGAUGAGCUAACCCUAGUGCUAUUUUUGGAAAUAGAAUUGAAAUGAUAAAGACUGGAAAACGAAAAACCAGAAUUGGGGCAUAGAUUUUAGUAAGUGUAUUGUGGAAGAGCGAAAUUUGAAUAUGCAAGAGAAAGUAAUAGAAAAGAAUGAAAAUGAAAAAGGGGUUUUAAAGGGUCAGAGACAGAGAGAGAGAUUUUUUUCAUAUUGAUUAAAGAAGAUGUUUUGAUGGUGGCGAGGGUGAUGGUGGCGAGUUCGAACGCUUUGGCUGCGUCGAGAGUUGGUGAGGUGGAGAAGAUUCUGCAGACCAG